CUAGAAAGGCCUAUUUUCAAAAGCUCAUGUCCUCUGAAUUGAGGAACCACAGAUCAGAUCAGCCUCUUCAACCCCCCGCGAGGCUCCCAUUCAUGUAAGACACCCAUGGCUUUGUAAUGGCACCCAACGCUCUGGGCUGGCAUGAAAAUUGUGUGACUCACAUCAUGUGCCUCCCCAAGAAGGUAAUGGAUGAGCUAAACUUGGAGCAGGGGGCUGAGACACAGAUUUCCUGUGCUGUCGAGCUAUUGCAGAUCUCAGCAGAUAACAAAGCUAUUAUCCUGGCAGAAAUGGAAGCAUCCUCAAAUCCUGUCAGAUGGCAGCAUGGACAAAAAUUACAAGCAAAUGUAUUUUUAAGCUGAUGCACUUUCUUAAGUCUGGCUCCUAAAAGCAAAACAUGCUCUUCUAGGAGAAGUUUUAGUAAAAACAUAAGAAUGCUGCUGGUAAGGAAAUCUCUAGGUGAUGCCAGGGACUGACAACAGAGGAUUUCUGAUAGAAGAAAGA
Long non-coding RNA from Homo sapiens (human), 501 nucleotides. Ensembl annotates it as ROR1 antisense RNA 1. Its record names the gene ROR1-AS1. Lineage: Eukaryota; Metazoa; Chordata; Mammalia; Primates; Hominidae. The record is from Ensembl.